GAUGAACGCUGGCGGCGUGCCUAAUACAUGCAAGUCGAGCGAACGGACGAGAAGCUUGCUUCUCUGAUGUUAGCGGCGGACGGGUGAGUAACACGUGGAUAACCUACCUAUAAGACUGGGAUAACUUCGGGAAACCGGAGCUAAUACCGGAUAAUAUUUUGAACCGCAUGGUUCAAAAGUGAAAGACGGUCUUGCUGUCACUUAUAGAUGGAUCCGCGCUGCAUUAGCUAGUUGGUAAGGUAACGGCUUACCAAGGCAACGAUGCAUAGCCGACCUGAGAGGGUGAUCGGCCACACUGGAACUGAGACACGGUCCAGACUCCUACGGGAGGCAGCAGUAGGGAAUCUUCCGCAAUGGGCGAAAGCCUGACGGAGCAACGCCGCGUGAGUGAUGAAGGUCUUCGGAUCGUAAAACUCUGUUAUUAGGGAAGAACAUAUGUGUGUGUAGCUGUGCACAUCUUGACGGUACCUAAUGAAGAAGCCACGGCUAACUACGUG
This 497-nucleotide ribosomal RNA is filed under the name uncultured bacterium. RNAcentral describes it as "partial 16S ribosomal RNA". It matches the Rfam family "Bacterial small subunit ribosomal RNA", at positions 28 to 507 of the family's 1533-position model. The record is from RNAcentral.